UAAGGAAUAUUGGUCAAUGGACGCAAGUCUGAACCAGCCAUGCCGCGUGGAGGAUGAAGGUCCUCUGGAUUGUAAACUUCUUUUAUCGGAGAAGAAACCCUCGUUUUCUAAUGAGGUUGACGGUACCCGAUGAAUAAGCACCGGCUAACUCCGUGCCAGCAGCCGCGGUAAUACGGAGGGUGCAAGCGUUAUCCGGAUUCACUGGGUUUAAAGGGUGCGUAGGUGGGUUGGUAAGUCCGUGGUGAAAUCUCCGAGCUUAACUCGGAAACUGCCGUGGAUACUAUCAAUCUUGAAUACUGUGGAGGUAAGCGGAAUAUGUCAUGUAGCGGUGAAAUGCUUAGAUAUGACAUAGAACACCGAUAGCGGAGGCAGCUUGCUACACAGUCAUUGACACUGAGGCACGAAAGCGUGGGGAUCAAACA
Molecule: ribosomal RNA, 422 nt
Filed under: uncultured Niastella sp.
Lineage: Bacteria; Pseudomonadati; Bacteroidota; Chitinophagia; Chitinophagales; Chitinophagaceae
Description: bacterial SSU rRNA
Rfam family: Bacterial small subunit ribosomal RNA
Source: RNAcentral